GCGGUGGGCGGAGGGAUCCCCGUCCGCGGGGCAAAGGAAAAUAAGUCAAAGACUCAGAAGGCAGCGUGAAUCCAGGGCCCGGGAUGCAGGGUUUGCUGGAACGCCAGCCGGUGCGAUCGCGCCCCUGGGAUUCCGCUUAGCCCGCGCGUCCAUUUCCCUGCACGAUGGACUCAGUAAAGCCGGAUCUGUCCAACGCCUGCAGCGUGGAUGUGGAGGCGGACUAAUCAACCGGUGCUCUGUUAUUAUUUCUACCCAUCCCUUUUCUCCAUGCUAAUUUGCUUAGAACUUUAACAUUGAAUGGACAGCAAAUGUCAUGUUCUGUUUAAUUAUCACUCCUUGACCAUUAUGUUAAUUUCUUUCCCUAACAAGGUGACGCAUUGUUUUAAGUAACAAUGACCAACUCAUCUACUCUUCUUCCAAAUUGUGUAAAUUGAAGGGUAAAAUGUGGGAAAAAAAUUUUAGCUGAAUUUGAAUGCUAAAUUUGAACAUUUCACACAACAAAAAUUUGAAAUGCUUCUUUGCAAUAUUAUGGCGUUUCGGAACAGAUAAAAAUACUUCAUUUUCAGACAUUUGGUGAACAAAUACUUCUUGGACGUUUAUAUGCAAAGCAAUGCAUGUAACAUUUUCAUUACUUUGCAAGUGUGCUUAUCAGUAAAAUAAUUUUGUUUUAAAUUCUAGCCUUCGUUUAAAUGUAUUUUAGUUACCACAUUGGGAAGAAAAUAAAAUAUUACUGUGUACGGA
This 741-nucleotide long non-coding RNA is filed under the name Pan troglodytes (chimpanzee). RNAcentral describes it as "long non-coding RNA NONPTRT016454". Lineage: Eukaryota; Metazoa; Chordata; Mammalia; Primates; Hominidae. The record is from RNAcentral.